UCCCUAGUAGCUCAGUUGGUUAAGAAUCUGCCUGCAAUGCAGGAGACCCAGGUUCAAUCCCUGGGUCAGGAA
Molecule: transfer RNA, 72 nt
Filed under: Bos taurus (domestic cattle)
Lineage: Eukaryota; Metazoa; Chordata; Mammalia; Artiodactyla; Bovidae
Also listed under: 3 other names
Rfam family: tRNA
About the family: Transfer RNA (tRNA) molecules are approximately 80 nucleotides in length.
Source: Rfam by way of RNAcentral